GACAAAUCCUCAACUGUAUGUCAGAAUCCAUGUUAGAUACUAGGGAUACGAAGAGAAGUCAAACAGGGUCCUAUCCCCAGAAAGGAGACAGACAAAGGAGCUGAUGGUUCAGACAGCAAAUGUGGAGAGUUGUUCAGGGUGUCAUGGGAGCACAUACAGAUAAGGAACGGGAUGCAGAGCAAGUUUAAAUAACUUGCAGAAGGACACACAGUUUGGAAGUGAAGAAGCUCAAAUUCAAGGACUGGCAGUCUGCAUCCAGGGUUGAUCAUCUUAAAUACCGCACUGAACUGGUUGCUCCCAAAGACUAAACAGUAUUUUUUAUAACAGGAUAUCCAUUUGUAGGUCAAUAAAUAGUUUCUAAUUCUUCUUAAAAUAAAAUACAAUGAACCGAAUAAAAUUUAAUAUAUCAGAGUAAA
This is a long non-coding RNA of Cebus imitator (Panamanian white-faced capuchin), 416 nucleotides long. RefSeq lists it as uncharacterized. The transcript has 2 exons. The record is from RefSeq and is a predicted model, not a curated record. NCBI's taxonomy places the organism in Eukaryota, Metazoa, Chordata, Mammalia, Primates, Cebidae.